This 492-nucleotide ribosomal RNA is filed under the name uncultured bacterium. RNAcentral's name for it is "partial 16S ribosomal RNA". It matches the Rfam family "Bacterial small subunit ribosomal RNA", at positions 29 to 507 of the family's 1533-position model. The record is from RNAcentral.
AGUGAACGCUGGCGGUAGGCCUAACACAUGCAAGUCGAACGGCAGCACAGUAAGAGCUUGCUCUUACGGGUGGCGAGUGGCGGACGGGUGAGGAAUACAUCGGAAUCUACUUUUUCGUGGGGGAUAACGUAGGGAAACUUACGCUAAUACCGCAUACGACCUACGGGUGAAAGCAGGGGAUCUUCGGACCUUGCGCGAUUGAAUGAGCCGAUGUUGGAUUAGCUAGUUGGCGGGGUAAAGGCCCACCAAGGCGACGAUCCGUAGCUGGUCUGAGAGGAUGAUCAGCCACACUGGAACUGAGACACGGUCCAGACUCCUACGGGAGGCAGCAGUGGGGAAUAUUGGACAAUGGGCGCAAGCCUGAUCCAGCCAUACCGCGUAGGUGAAGAAGGCCUUCGGGUUGUAAAGCCCUUUUGUUGGGAAAGAAAAGCAGCAGGUUAAUACCCCGCUGUUCUGACGGUACCCAAAGAAUAAGCACCGGCUAACUUCGUG